RNAcentral lists this ribosomal RNA (433 nucleotides) under uncultured bacterium. RNAcentral's name for it is "partial 16S ribosomal RNA". It matches the Rfam family "Bacterial small subunit ribosomal RNA", at positions 29 to 507 of the family's 1533-position model. The record is from RNAcentral.
AACGAACGCUGGCGGCAUGCCUAACACAUGCAAGUCGAACGAGACCUUCGGGUCUAGUGGCGCACGGGUGCGUAACGCGUGGGAACCUGCCCUUAGGUUCGGAAUAACUCCCCGAAAGGGGUGCUAAUACCGGAUAAUGUCUUCGGACCAAAGAUUUAUCGCCUUUGGAUGGGCCCGCGUUGGAUUCGCUGGUUGGUAGGGUAAAAGCCUACCAAGGCGACGUUCCAUAGCUGGUCUGAGAGGAUGAUCAGCCCCAAUGGGACUGCGACACGGCCCAGACUCCGACGGGACGCAGCAGUAGGGAAUAUUGUACAAUGGGCGAAAGCGUGAUCCAGCAAUGCCGCGUGAGUGAUGAAGGCCUUAGGGUUGUAAAGCUCUUUUACCCGAGAUGAUAAUGACAGUACCGGGAGAAUAAGCUCCGGCUAACUCCGUG